UCCAGACUCCUACGGGAGGCAGCAGUGGGGAAUAUUGCACAAUGGGGGAAACCCUGAUGCAGCGACGCCGCGUGGGCGACGAAGCGCUCCGGCGCGUAAAGCCCUGUCAGCAGGGAAGAACAAAGACAGUACCUGACCAAGAAGCCCCGGCUAACUACGUGCCAGCAGCCGCGGUAAUACGUAGGGGGCAAGCGUUAUCCGGAUUUACUGGGUGUAAAGGGGGCGCAGACGGCGAUGCAAGCCAGGAGUGAAAGCCCGGGGCCCAACCCCGGGACUGCUCUGGGAACUGCGGGGCUGGAGUGCAGGAGGGGCAGGCGGAAUUCCUGGUGUGGCGGUGAAAGGCGUGGAUAUCAGGAGGAACACCGGUGGCGAGGGCG
Molecule: ribosomal RNA, 377 nt
Filed under: uncultured bacterium
Lineage: Bacteria
Description: partial 16S ribosomal RNA
Rfam family: Bacterial small subunit ribosomal RNA
Source: RNAcentral